CAGCGCCACAAGUGGUGAUCGGCAUUAUUGGGCCUAAAGCGUCCGUAGCAGGGAAAAUAAAUCUUCUGUGAAACUGUUCAGCUUAACUGAACAACAUGCAGGAGACACUAUUUUUCUAGAGACCGGGAGGAGUCAGAGGUAUUUUUGGGGGAGCGGUAAAAUGCUAUAAUCCCAAGAAGACCACCGAUGGCGAAGGCAUCUGACUAGAACGGAUCUGACUGUGAGGGACGAAGGCCAGGGGAGCGAACCGGAUUAGAUACCCGAGUAGUCC
Molecule: ribosomal RNA, 271 nt
Filed under: uncultured archaeon
Lineage: Archaea
Description: partial 16S ribosomal RNA
Rfam family: Archaeal small subunit ribosomal RNA
Source: RNAcentral